Molecule: transfer RNA, 85 nt
Filed under: Pedinophyceae sp. YPF-701
Lineage: Eukaryota; Viridiplantae; Chlorophyta; Pedinophyceae
Description: tRNA-Ser
Rfam family: tRNA
About the family: Transfer RNA (tRNA) molecules are approximately 80 nucleotides in length. Their secondary structure includes four short double-helical elements and three loops (D, anti-codon, and T loops).
Source: RNAcentral
GAAGAGUGUCCGAGUUGGUCUAUGGUAUCACUUUUGAAAAGUGACGUCGUGAAAGCGACCGGGGGUUCGAAUCCCUCCUCUUCCG